This 533-nucleotide ribosomal RNA is filed under the name uncultured eukaryote. RNAcentral describes it as "bacterial SSU rRNA". It matches the Rfam family "Eukaryotic small subunit ribosomal RNA", at positions 13 to 549 of the family's 1831-position model. The record is from RNAcentral.
CCUGCCAUUAGUCAUAUGCUUGUCUCAAAGAUUAAGCCAUGCAUGUCUAACUAUAAAUGGAUUAUACAGUGAAACUGCUUAAUGGCUCAUUAAAUCAUUUAUAGUUUAUUUGAUAAUACCUUUUACUUGGAUAACCGAAAUAAUUUUAAAUCUAAUACAUGCGUGAAAGUGCGACUUUUGUGGAACCACUGUAUUUAUUAUAUACAAAACCAAUCUAGCUUGCUCGCUACCUUGAUGAUUCAUAAUAACUAAACUAAUCUUAUGACUUUAUGUCAACGAUGAUUCAUUCAAAUUUCGGCCCUAUCAACUUUCAAUGGUAAGGUAUUGGCUUACCAUGGUUACAACGGGUGACGGACAAUUAAGGUUCGAUUCCGGACAGGGAGCCUGGGAAACGGCUACCACUUCUACGGAUGGCAGCAGGCGCGCAAAUUACCCAAUCCUGACUCAUGGAGGUAGUGACGAAUAAUAACGAUACGUGACUUCAGUCUAAUAAUUGGAAUGAGUACAAUUUAAACCCCUUAAUGAAUUCCAUU